GUAUGUGUAACCACACCCGGUUAAUUUUUGCAUUUUUUGUAGAGGUGGGGUUUUGCCAUGUUGCCUAGGCUGUUCUUGAACUCCUGGGCUGAAGCAAUCUGCCUGCCUCGGCCUCCCAAAGUGUUAGGAUUACAGGCGUGAGCCACCAUGCCUGGCCCAGUCAGUGUUUCAAAAAGCCUCUGGGUGAUUUGGAUGGGUGCAAAAAUGUGGGAAUAUUUGUACAGCAGUUGUUGUGUGCAUUGCCCAGAUGUCCUAGAAGGACUGAAAGAUGUAUUCAUCUAAUUGCUGAGAGUGCUAUCAGCCUUCCUACCCAAGACCUCUUUCCAGGGGGCAGUCUACAUCCACUGACUGGUUGAUGCAGAAAUCUAAAGACCCUGUCCGCAGCUACAACAGACUGGUUGAUGCAGAAAUCUAAAGACCCUGUCCGCAGCUACAACAUGGAGCCACCCUAAAAAGCUGCCUUGGCUUCAGAGCUACCUGCGGGUUGGCUGAGGUCUUCGUUGAGAUUUCAUUGCAGCCCAACUCCUCCUUUGCCCAGCCUGCUUCCUUUCCUUCCAUUCCACAGGUGGGAAUCCUAGCAGCAGCUCUUGAUCUUCCUGUGCUCCAAUUUUCCUCCCAGAGACUGCUUCCUUGGGUACCCCCUGAGCUGUGGGGCAUACCUCACAAGGAAAAUGGGACAAGUUGAGACUUUAAAGAGGAUGGGGAAGAAGUCAAUCAGUGAUGAAGGGAGGGGCGGAAGGAUUGGACAUGGGAGGUGUCCCAAGAGAGGAAAGCAGCAUGAGUGAAACAUAGCCUAAGGCCCAUUAGGAACAGGAGAGCCACAGAAAUGGGCUACGUCACAGAAUGAGGAGGGAGUAGUGGGAUAUUGCUGAGGAAGUAGUUUGUGGAAGGUAUUAAGGUCCCCAAAUAAAGAGUUUGAACUUGGUUGGAAAGUUAACGUCAGGAUCUUACAGUCUCAUAGAGUAGCUAGACAUAACUCAAUCACACGAAUGCCAAAUUUGCACACACACACUAAAUUAUAGGGGCUCAAAGACCCAAUGAAAGACUCUGUGUACUAGGUAUACAUAUGUACUAGGUAUACCUGUGAGAGACUCUGUACUAGGUAUACAUAUGAGACUCUACGUACUAGAUAUACAUAGGUACUAGGUAGACCUAGUACAUAGACUCUGUCAUUCAAAUUUUGUUUUGGUUUUUCCCUUAUGAGACCAUGAAUUCUUUGAGAAUGAAAAUUGCUUUGCGUCCUGAUUUCUCCAGAAUGUAACAGUAGAUGCUCGAAAACAUUGGUUGAAUGAAUUAUGAGCUCAGGGACUCAACUUCCCACCACUUAGCAUGUACUAGAUUCUUGACAAACGUUUGUGAAUGAAUGAAUGAAUUGUUUUGGUGUCAAGGUGGUUCAACCAGAACUACUUCCAAAGUGCUGAUAAGGUGUCAUGUUGUUCAUAAAGCCACACUGACUUUAUUUUAAGAACUGCUGAGAGAUUUUAAGAGACCUUCCCUGUGUCAAGAUGCCUUUUCUUUUUGAAUGGAUGACGAUAGUAAAUAUUACUUUAAAGUAUCUUUUUUUUUUUUCUUUUUAAUAAAGAGACAGGGUCUCACUUUGUCUGCCAGGCUGGAGUGCAUGGUGUGAUUGUAGCUCCCUGCAGAUUGUAGCUCCCAGAGACUGGGCUCAAGCCAUCCUCCGCCUGCUUCACCUUCCUGAGUAGUGAGGAUUAUAGGGAUGCACCACUGUGCCAAGCUCUAAAAUAUUCUUACUACUCAAAAUAGUCAAUAAUUUAGUUGUCAAAAUUAAUUUUUGAACUAGUCAAAAAUUUGGAAGCAAUUUCUGCAAAGCAAGUUGGGAUAGAGGGGAGGCCUGGUGUCUGUUGAAGAUAAAGGAUUAAUCUUUGAGCUGCCCUUGAUUUUUUAUCCUUGAAAAAGUUGAGGAUGUCUAUGAUUGGGGGUUUACUGGGAGGGAGGUGAGGUGAUUACUGAGAGGAAAGGGAAACAAGGUUAUUUUCAAGAGUUGGGUAGGAGAUACAGAUUGGCAAGAAAACACUUCCAAAAUAAGCAACAAAAACAAACCCACUUUGUAAAACUGUUUGAGGGCAGAUGAAAAUUUUAAUUGAAGAGAUGCAAUUAUGUUCAAUGCAGGAUAGGAGAAAUGGGUUUUAGAUUUGUUUGAAAGCACUUUUCUGUAUCCACCUACUAUGCACAAAUGCUUUGAUGUAGUGGCAAGUUAGGAAAGAGGAGGGAAGUGGUCAAGGGAUGGAGGGAGGGUAGAGUGUGGGCUGCUCAGGUAGGUACCAUGGUGAGCAGAGGUUGUGGGCAUGUGGGGUUGGAAUUAGUGGGAUUAGCAGUUUGUAACUGGCUGCCCUUAUAAAUCCGGGAGCAUUAAAUAUGUCUGGACGAGAGGACUAACAAAAGUUGGCAAAGUGAUACAUGGUAGAGAUGGUCAUCCAGUAAUGAAGUAAUUUGUGUUUUCCCAGGGGUGUAGCAGUGAGGAUGAGGCUGGGCAGCUGGCUGCAGGAAGAUGAAUGACAAGGGGACAGUAGGGUGAUGGAGGUGAUGGAUAGCUGGUUGACAGCAAACAGGAAGAAACAAAAGGAGGGGGAGUGAGGGAGAGAGGGAAGGAGGGAAGGAAGUAAGGAAGGAAGGAAGGAAGAAAGGAGGGAGGGAGGGAGGGAGGGAGGGACAGAAAAGAGACAGAGAAAUAGAACAUAUUGCUGGCUCUCUUGUUGUUUUAGCUGCCUAGUGGCUAUGUAAACAAGAAUCAUAAGAGAUGGAAUAUGGGAAAUGCCAGCAAUAUCUAAAAGAGAAACCAGGACAAAGAAAAUCCAGAGUGUUUUGCAAAGAAGGCAAGGGUAAGAGCAUGUAGAGUUGGAAUUCGUGGGAUCAGCAGUUUGCAAUUGGCUGCCCUUACAAAUUAGGGAACAUUGAAUAUAUCUGGACCAGAGGACUAAGAAAAGUUAGCAAAGUGGUACAUGGUAGAGAUAGUUAUUCAGUACAUCAAGUAAUUUGUAUUUUCCCAGAUUGAUGAAAGUGUCUUCAUAACCACAAGAAUGAAAAACAUGUAUGAAACUAUGGUUUUUAUGUGACUAAAAGUUGACAGAAUAUCAAAUGUAUCUAAAUUGAAUUAUCUUUGAUCAUGCCUGGGCAUUCAGCUGAGCUGGUGAUAUUUGGAUGAGUAAUAAAAUAAUGACCUGAUUAAUAAAUUAUCAUAUAUUUUUCCAUAUAAUUUGUUCUUCUUGGCUUCCUUUCAGCAAAAUCAUAAAUUGUGUUGUUAUUGUAAAAGAAAAGUAGACUAUCGGGACCUCAAACUCACUAUGCCAAAGGGAAAGUUAAACUUGGGAAUCAAGCCACCAAUACUUUUUUCCUUUUGUACCCAAAUAGAUAACUGUAAUUUCACAACCCGUGUCAUAGCCUCAUUUGCUCUACUCCCUCUUUUCACAUGCUUACUUUAUCUUAUGUAAAAUGUAGAUUUACUGAGCACGAGACAAUACACAAUGGACUCUUCCACACUCCCUCUUUUCACAUGUAAAAUGUAGAUUCAGUGAAGCUAAUCAGACCCUCACAAGACUGUAACCAUCUGCCUCACUGCCUACCCUUCCUCCCAUCUCCUUUUUUCCCCUUUUUGCUUGCUCUUUCCCCUUUAAAUACUAAAGUUCACAAAAUCUCCCUUGGAAAAAUCAUAGGUCAAAGAUGCUCCUGGGAUUUGUGUUUCUUCCUGGGCACAUCCUCAACCUUGGCCAAAUCAACCUUGAAUCGUUUGAGACCUCCCUCAGUCACUUUUUGGCUUCCGUUUUGGUAGCUACAGAGGGAUUCUCCGGGUAGAUUUGGCCCUUGGCCAGCAACAACUCUCCUAUCAAUGCCUGGUACUGGCUGGGGGUUUUUUCUGUUUUUUUUUUUUUUUUUUUUGAGUUGGAAUCUCACUCAGUUGUCCAGGCUGGAGUGCAAUGGCAUGAUCUUCAGUUCAUUGCAACCUCUGCCUCCUGGAUUCAAGCAAUUCUCCUGCCUCAGCCUCCUGAGUAGCUGGGAUUACAUGUGCCCGCCACCACACUGGGCUAAUUUUUGUAUUUUUAGUAGAGAUGGGGUUUCACCAUAUUGACUAGGCUGGUCUCUUGGCCAGGCUGGUCUUGUACUCCUGACCUCGUGAUCUGUCCGCCUUGGCCUCCCAAAGUGCUGGGAUUACAGGUGUGAGCCACUGUGCCUGGCCAGCUGGGGCUAUUUUUAUUUCUAUGACUAUUGGGAUGAUUUGCUGAGGUCUGGGAGCUUCUCCCUUCAGAGGUCCCUGACCUCGCCCAAAUUUUCAGUUGAGAUGAGGUUAAUUCUGCUGCAGAACUCCUUUAUGGGAGUUUAGUUUACUUUCAGCAAGGAAGAUGAGUUUCCCACUUCCGUGAUGGUGGAGAGUAGCCUUUAGCUUAGACCCCAUCUCCAGGUAAGAGGCUGAUUUGGGGAUUCAUUUUGGUAUUUGGUAGCUGUAGGUCAAAGUUAAUUGUCAGCUGGCUAUCACUUCUCCUUAUAAUCAGAGAUCUAGGCUAUAUGUAAAUUUUAAGAGAUGAGGUGAAGAGGUAGGUAGGGUGGUCUGGUCUUGUUAAGUUUGGGCAUCAUCUUUCAUCCUGAGAGUGAUGAGAAGUCAUUGAAGAGUUUAAAGGUGGAAAAUGCAUUGUGAGGAAUGGGUGGGAGGAUGGCUAGGCUGCAGGCAGAGAUCACUUUUUUCUGUUUUUGUUUGUUUGUUUCAGUCCAUCUUUUGUUAGAUUUGACCAACUUCUGGUCCCCUCUUAUGUCAACUGAAAUCCCUGCAGCUGCCGAAAGACAAAUUUUACCUCUAAAAUCCCUGGCUGGUUAAGAAAAAUCAAAAUUUGACUACCUGAGAGGUUUUAUUUACGUAAGACUGCCUUCCCAGCCUCUCUCUCUGUGCUGUUAAAGAUUUUAGUGAUCUCUUAUAUUAAGCAAUUAAUGAAAAAGAUAAACUGUUUUACAGGACAAAGGCUAGCCUAAAAAAGUUCUCUUGACUAAAAUAGGUGCAAAAAAGUCUGACCUAAAAUAGUUCUGGUAGUUAAAAUUCCCAUCAGGGCUUGAGUUCGUUUCCUAAUCUGGGAACAACAAAGGCUACUCCACCUUGUGGCCUAAUAGUUAAAAUUCUGCAGUUUUACCUCCACUGCAUGGGUUUGAUUCCUGGUCAGGGAACCCACCCCUCUUGGUUUGAUACUUGUGUGAAUGUCUUUUAGGGUACCAACUUAUUAUUGAUCCAUUCCCUUUCCUUGGGAAGCUUUUGAUUUCCUGUUUUCUUCUGUCUGUUUGGGGUCACACAAGGCUUUUGAGCCUUUGUGUGUGGACAGUCAGUUGAGAAGCUAAGAUCCUAGAGAACAUGUCCUGAAAGAAAUGUGGUCUAUACCCUCUUUAUGGAUAGUGAAAUUUUCCUUCUCUGAGCUGUCUUUGGGGUGAUUCUAGAUCUUGUAAAAAACUGCUUGCCACCUCUUUGGAGACAUCUCAUGUGUCUGUGGUUGUUAUAACCUUGGUUGAAACACUGGGGAAGAUACCUUUGCAAAAGAAGUUCAAAAGCAAAAAAAUCAACCGUUUGUCCCAGCUAAAAUCUGGUAACAAAAGAUCUGAAAGGAUUUUUUUAGAGAGCUCUAUGGUUAGAAGUCAAUUUAAUUAGAAGCUGAUAUCUAGCCUUUAUGCUUUCAACACCUUUUGUUUCCUGUUUUUUGGAAUUUUUUUUUUUAGUUGACUUAAACUUUUUUUUUUAAAGAUGGGUCUUGCUUUGUUGCCCAGGUUAGAGUGCAGUGGCACAACCAGGGCUCACUGUAGCCAUGCUCUUCUGGGCUCAAGUGAUCUGCCCACCUCAGCUCCUCAGUAGCUGAUACUACAGGUGUGCACCACCACAUCUGGCUACUUUUUAAAUAUUUUUGUAGAGAUGGGGUCUCACUGUAUUGUUCAGGUUGGUUCUAAACUUCUGGUCUCAAGCAGUCCCCCCACCCCAGCCUCUAAAAGUGCUGGGAUUACAAGUGUGAGCCACUAUGCCUGGCUGGCUAAAACU
Molecule: long non-coding RNA, 6019 nt
Filed under: Homo sapiens (human)
Lineage: Eukaryota; Metazoa; Chordata; Mammalia; Primates; Hominidae
Description: HSALNT0050323
Source: RNAcentral